AACGAACGCUGGCGGCAGGCCUAACACAUGCAAGUCGAGCGCCCUUUCGGGGGAGCGGCGGACGGGUGAGUAACGCGUGGGAAUAUGCCCUUCUCUACGGAAUAGCCUCGGGAAACUGAGAGUAAUACCGUAUACGCCCUCUGGGGGAAAGAUUUAUCGGGGAAGGAUUAGCCCGCGUUGGAUUAGGUAGUUGGUGGGGUAAUGGCCUACCAAGCCGACGAUCCAUAGCUGGUUUGAGAGGAAGAUCAGCCACCCUGGGAAUGAGACACGGCCCAGACUCCUACGGGAGGCAGCAGUUGGGAAUCUUAGACAAUGGGGGCAACCCUGAUCUAGCCAUGCCGCGUGAAUGAUGAAGGCCUUAGGGUUGUAAAGCUCUAUCAGCUGGGAAGAUAAUGACGGUACCAGCAGAAGAAGCCCCGGCUAACUCCGUG
This 431-nucleotide ribosomal RNA is filed under the name uncultured bacterium. RNAcentral's name for it is "partial 16S ribosomal RNA". It matches the Rfam family "Bacterial small subunit ribosomal RNA", at positions 29 to 507 of the family's 1533-position model. The record is from RNAcentral.